RNAcentral lists this ribosomal RNA (371 nucleotides) under Oliva caroliniana. Its description in RNAcentral is "partial 12S ribosomal RNA". The record is from RNAcentral. Lineage: Eukaryota; Metazoa; Mollusca; Gastropoda; Neogastropoda; Olividae.
UCUUGGCCAUAAACUAAUGUGAUUUACCAGAGUACUAUGAAUAGCAAAAUUUAAAACUCAAAGGGCUUGGCGGUGUUUUAGACCUCUCAGGGGAACCUGUCUCGUAAUCGACAAUCCACGUUAGACCUAACCUUUUUUUGUACUUCAGUUUGUAUACCGUCGUCGUCAGGUAACUUCCAAAAAGUUAGAAGUUAGCAAACAAAAUAAUUUAGAUUUAAACGUCAGAUCAAGGUGCAGCUAACAAAAGGGUGAGGAUGGGUUACAAUUAUUUCACUUAUAACAACGGAUACAUAAAUGAAAUUUUUUGUUGAAGGAGGACUUGAAAGUAAAGUAUGAUAUAAGAAUCAUUUGAAUAUGGCUCUGAAACGUGC